UUGCCUUAAAAUUGGUAUGACUCCUCAAGGUGCUGGAGAGAAGACUUGUCAAGCUAACUGCUGGCAAAGUGAAGACAUGUUGGUAACAGUGAAAACAGCGAUGGUGAAGAGGAGAUGAGAUCAGCUACCAACUAUGACUAAGUCUUGUAGCUGUCAAGAGAUAAAAAUAGAGUAAUGUGUACAUGCCUAAAGUAAAAAUAAGGUACCAGUGUAUAUGACAAAGGUGAGUUGGUUCCACUGGCUGCUUUUCUCCAGGGUUAUCCUAUGUUAUAAGUUGAUGCAGAUGGUUAUUGAGCAGAUUGGGGCCAUUCAGCAACACCUAGCAGCAAUAUCUAGCAAUAUCUAGCAUCUGUUCACCUAGCAAUGUCAGAAUAAGGGGGCAGUUGCCUCUAAAAGCCACUUACAUACUAAUCCACUCAACUGUUUUCUGCUUGUACAUCUGGGGAUGAGGCAGGAUCAGACUCUA
Molecule: long non-coding RNA, 466 nt
Organism: Neopelma chrysocephalum (saffron-crested tyrant-manakin)
Lineage: Eukaryota; Metazoa; Chordata; Aves; Passeriformes; Pipridae
Exons: 3
Source: RefSeq, a predicted model, not a curated record